Long non-coding RNA from Tachyglossus aculeatus (Australian echidna), 249 nucleotides. RefSeq lists it as uncharacterized. Lineage: Eukaryota; Metazoa; Chordata; Mammalia; Monotremata; Tachyglossidae. The record is from RefSeq and is a predicted model, not a curated record. The transcript is spliced from 3 exons.
GUGGGAGCAGCCUGUCUAUCUGCCUCUCUCUCCUCCCCUUUCCAGCCUGUCUACCCGUCCAUUGUUUUGACCCUCUCCGGACCUGGAAUGCAGCCCGUCUACUAACUGUGGCUGGGAGGUGAGAGCAGCUGGACCCAGGAAUCCGGGGCGACUUAGAUGGAAGUUUCGGGGCUUCUCUCCUGCUGUGUGACACGGAUGGCUUCGGUGGUGGGGAGACAAGCAGCAGAUGGGGCGACCCGAGGUCCAGAG